ACAAACUAAAAAAUCUCUAUUGACGACCUAAUUAAAUAGAAAGGAUAAUUAAAUAAAUAAAAUUAUACAACGAAUACUAAAGAUUCCUUUUGAACCUUCAAAUUGCUAUUUCAACGAGUUGUUAUUUAUCAAUAAAAAUUAAAUGCUUCCUAACAAAUUUGACAUUUUACAUUGAAUUGACCCCUUCACCUUCAAUCUCGACGAUUGACUAAAAAAUGGGUUAUUAUGAUUUCGAGCAAGC
RNAcentral lists this long non-coding RNA (241 nucleotides) under Gossypium raimondii (Peruvian cotton). Its description in RNAcentral is "long non-coding RNA (GRAI_LNC002715)". Lineage: Eukaryota; Viridiplantae; Streptophyta; Magnoliopsida; Malvales; Malvaceae. The record is from RNAcentral.